UUGUUUUCAGAUAGCCAUGGCACGUCUAAGUACAAACUAAAUAGGAUGGUGAAACUAGGCAAAUUGGGCUCAUUACAACGGUUAUGAUGUACCCGGGAGUUCCGAUGGAUAUUUCCAGUAACACUAGAACUAAUACAUGUCCCUGCGUUUAUUAGUUUCGCACAGUCCGUCGCUGAGUCAUGGUAAACAGUUGAUCGACUCGACGUCCCGGAACAGUUUCCGCCCCAUCAGCUUCGAUGGUUGGGUAUUGGCCUACCAUUGCAACAACGGGUAACGAGGAAUUAGGGUUUGAUUUCGGAGAGGGAGCCUGAGAAACGGCUACCACAUCUACGGAUGGCAGCAGGCGCGCAAAUUACCCAAUGCAGACACUGUGAGGUAGUGACGAGAAAUAAUAAAGCGGGACUUCUGUUUCGCUAUUAUAAUGAGGAAUAACCAAAGGUCAUUCCGAUUAGCAACUGAUGGGAAAGUCUGGUGCCAGCAGCCGCGGUAAUACCAGCGUC
Molecule: ribosomal RNA, 500 nt
Filed under: uncultured Myrionecta
Lineage: Eukaryota; Ciliophora; Litostomatea; Cyclotrichida; Mesodiniidae
Description: SSU rRNA
Rfam family: Eukaryotic small subunit ribosomal RNA
Source: RNAcentral